GGUGGUUUUAGCUCAGUUGGUUAGAGCGUCGGAUUGUGGUUCCGAAGGUCGCCGGUUCGAGCCCGGUACUCCACCC
This 76-nucleotide transfer RNA is filed under the name Bacteroidota bacterium. RNAcentral's name for it is "tRNA-His". It matches the Rfam family "tRNA". From Rfam's summary of the family: Transfer RNA (tRNA) molecules are approximately 80 nucleotides in length. Their secondary structure includes four short double-helical elements and three loops (D, anti-codon, and T loops). Further hydrogen bonds mediate the characteristic L-shaped molecular structure. tRNAs have two regions of fundamental functional importance: the anti-codon, which is responsible for specific mRNA codon recognition, and the 3' end, to which the tRNAs corresponding amino acid is attached (by aminoacyl-tRNA synthetases). tRNAs cope with the degeneracy of the genetic code in two manners: having more than one tRNA (with a specific anti-codon) for a particular amino acid; and 'wobble' base-pairing, i.e. permitting non-standard base-pairing at the 3rd anti-codon position. Lineage: Bacteria; Pseudomonadati; Bacteroidota. The record is from RNAcentral.